Molecule: long non-coding RNA, 540 nt
Organism: Cucurbita moschata (crookneck pumpkin)
Lineage: Eukaryota; Viridiplantae; Streptophyta; Magnoliopsida; Cucurbitales; Cucurbitaceae
Exons: 3
Source: RefSeq, a predicted model, not a curated record
GAGGACAAUAUUUGCUAGCGGUGUGCUUGGGCCGUUACACUCUGUAAUUCUUGUAGAUUCUUGUAGACGACACUGUAAUUCUUGUAGAGACAUUGGGCCAUUGUAUACCAAGUCCCUGCACUUGGGAAUGAUCAGGUGUUGAAGAUAAGUCUUAGAAUUGUGCCCGACGAAUACACAAGUAUCUCACAGGAAUUUGAAGGUGAGGGCCAUAAAAAUGCGAGCUCCUUCAUGUUAAGCUCCACAGAAUUCCAGAAGUGGAAGAUUUGAAUAAGGCACAAAAGUAUGCAAGCUUGAAGUGAACUUGGUCUUGGAGGAUUUUGUGUGCCUUACUCUUGUCAUUAAAUCUAGGCGGUGUUUGAGAUGGCUCAACCGUGAAACUUAAAGUACGAUCAUCAAGAUGUGAGAAAGCUCGUCAAGGCCAAUGGCUGAUGAAUUGGAAGCACACCAUGCAUCUUCUGUAAUGAAUUGCAUCCAUGAAUCGUCCUUCUCUUCUUCUUCCACACAAGAAGAUGAAGCUGCCAUCAGAACAUCAGGUGACAA